RNAcentral lists this ribosomal RNA (253 nucleotides) under uncultured bacterium. RNAcentral's name for it is "partial 16S ribosomal RNA". It matches the Rfam family "Bacterial small subunit ribosomal RNA", at positions 524 to 776 of the family's 1533-position model. The record is from RNAcentral.
UACGAAGGGGGCUAGCGUUGCUCGGAAUGACUGGGCGUAAAGGGCGCGUAGGCGGAUUGUACAGUCAGGCGUGAAAUUCCCGGGCUCAACCUGGGGGCUGCGCUUGAGACGUGCGAUCUUGAGUGGGGAAGAGGGUCGUGGAAUUCCCAGUGUAGAGGUGAAAUUCGUAGAUAUUGGGAAGAACACCGGUGGCGAAGGCGGCGACCUGGUCCUUGACUGACGCUGAGGCGCGAAAGCCAGGGGAGCGAACGGG